This 214-nucleotide unclassified non-coding RNA is filed under the name uncultured Actinomycetes bacterium. RNAcentral describes it as "uncultured actinobacterium contains 16S-23S intergenic spacer region". Lineage: Bacteria; Bacillati; Actinomycetota; Actinomycetes. The record is from RNAcentral.
UCCGAGUUAACCCCGGCAGUCUCCCGUGAGUCCCCAACUGAAUGCUGGCAACACGGGAUAAGGGUUGCGCUCGUUGCGGGACUUAACCCAACAUCUCACGACACGAGCUGACGACAGCCAUGCACCACCUGACACCCAGUCCGAAGAGGCCUCUAUCUCUAGAGGUUUCCGGGUGAUGUCAAACCUAGGUAAGGUGGGGAUGACGUGAGGAUAG